This 67-nucleotide transfer RNA is filed under the name Bambusiphaga citricolorata. Its description in RNAcentral is "tRNA-Asp". Lineage: Eukaryota; Metazoa; Arthropoda; Insecta; Hemiptera; Delphacidae. The record is from RNAcentral.
AAGAAAUUAGUUUAAAAAAAACAUUAAUAUGUCAAAUUAAAAUUACUAAAAAAAGAUGUAUUUCUUU